Molecule: ribosomal RNA, 914 nt
Filed under: uncultured Nitrososphaerota archaeon
Lineage: Archaea; Thermoproteati; Nitrososphaerota
Description: bacterial SSU rRNA
Rfam family: Archaeal small subunit ribosomal RNA
Source: RNAcentral
UUCCGGUUGAUCCUGCCGGACCUGACUGCUAUCGGAUUGAUACUAAGCCAUGCGAGUCAUUGUAGCAAUACAAGGCAGACGGCUCAGUAACGCGUAGUCAACCUAACCUAUGGACGGGAAUAACCUCGGGAAACUGAGAAUAAUGCCCGAUAGAACACUAUAUCUGGAAUGGUUUGUGUUCCAAAUGAUUUAUCGCCGUAGGAUGGGACUGCGGCCUAUCAGUUUGUUGGUGAGGUAAUGGCCCACCAAGACUAUUACAGGUACGGGCUCUGAGAGGAGUAGCCCGGAGAUGGGUACUGAGACACGGACCCAGGCCCUAUGGGGCGCAGCAGGCGAGAAAACUUUGCAAUGUGCGAAAGCACGACAAGGUUAAUCCGAGUGGUUUGUGCUAAACGAACCUUUUGUCGGUCCUAGAAACACCGAUGAAUAAGGGGUGGGCAAGUUCUGGUGUCAGCCGCCGCGGUAAAACCAGCACCUCAAGUGGUCAGGAUGAUUAUUGGGCCUAAAGCAUCCGUAGCCGGCGCUAUAAGUUUUCGGUUAAAUCUGUACGCUCAACGUACAGGCUGCCGGGAAUACUGUAGCGCUAGGGAGUGGGAGAGGUAGACGGUACUCGGUAGGAAGGGGUAAAAUCCUUUGAUCUAUUGAUGACCACCUGUGGCGAAGGCGGUCUACCAGAACACGUCCGACGGUGAGGGAUGAAAGCUGGGGGAGCAAACCGGAUUAGAUACCCGGGUAGUCCCAGCUGUAAACUAUGCAAACUCAGUGAUGCAUUGGCUUGUGGCCAAUGCAGUGCUGCAGGGAAGCCGUUAAGUUUGCCGCCUGGGAAGUACGUACGCAAGUAUGAAACUUAAAGGAAUUGGCGGGGGAGCACCACAAGGGGUGAAGCCUGCGGUUCAAUUGGAGUCAACGCCGGG